RNAcentral lists this ribosomal RNA (484 nucleotides) under uncultured bacterium. RNAcentral's name for it is "partial 16S ribosomal RNA". It matches the Rfam family "Bacterial small subunit ribosomal RNA", at positions 30 to 507 of the family's 1533-position model. The record is from RNAcentral.
AUUGAACGCUGGCGGCAUGCCUAACACAUGCAAGUCGAACGGAAGCAGGGAGCUGGCUUCUGGAUUCUGGGGAGGGCGGGUGAGUAGUGUCUAAGAAUCUGCCUGGUAGUGGGGUAUAUCGUCCGGAAAUGGGCGCAAAUACCGUAUAAGCUCUGGGGGAGAACGGGGGGCAUCUGGGGAUCUCGCGCUAUCAGAUGAGUCUAGGUCGGAUUAGCUAGUUGGUGGGGUAAAGGCCUACCAAGGCGACGAUCCGUAGCUGGUCUGAGAGGAUGAUCAGACACACUGGGACUGAGACACGGUCCAGACUCCUACGGGAGGCAGCAGUGGGGAAUAUUGGACAAUGGGCGAAAGCCUGAUCCAGCCAUGCCGCGUGUGGGAAGAAGGCCUUCGGAUUGUAAAGCGCUUUAAGUUGGAAGGAAGAGGAGUAAGUUAAUACCUUGGUGUUUUGACGGUACCGAAAGAAUAAGCACCGGCUAACUUCGUG